UACGGGGGGAGCAAGCGUUGUUCGGAUUUACUGGGCGUAAAGGGCGCGUAGGCGGCCACCGCAAGUCAAUUGUGAGAUCUCCGGGCUUAACUCGGAAAGGUCAACUGAUACUGCCGUGGCUUGAGUCCGGUAGAGGAGCAGGGAAUUCCUGGUGUAGCGGUGAAAUGCGCAGAUAUCAGGAGGAACACCAGCGGCGAAGGCGCUGCUCUGGGCCGGUACUGACGCUGAGGAGCGAAAGCGUGGGGAGCGAACAGG
RNAcentral lists this ribosomal RNA (255 nucleotides) under uncultured bacterium. Its description in RNAcentral is "partial 16S ribosomal RNA". It matches the Rfam family "Bacterial small subunit ribosomal RNA", at positions 524 to 776 of the family's 1533-position model. The record is from RNAcentral.